GUGAAUCAUCGAAUUUUUGAACGCAAAUUGCACUCCCCGGUUUUCCGGGAGAGUAUGCCUGUUUGCGGGCAUGAUUAAAAAAUAAUCGAGGCUGCUGCUGUGGCGGCGCUCCGGAACUGGGUCAUCUUUUACCUUUUGGCGUUGUACGUGACCUAAAAUUUUUCUUACGAUUUCUACGAAUGUGUCUAAGAAUCUCUUGCACGUUCGUGAUAUAGAUCUCAUAUUAGGCGCGA
This 233-nucleotide unclassified non-coding RNA is filed under the name Glomus sp. RNAcentral's name for it is "partial contains 5.8S ribosomal RNA and internal transcribed spacer 2". The stretch from base 1 to 72 matches the Rfam family "5.8S ribosomal RNA", at positions 84 to 154 of the family's 154-position model. Lineage: Eukaryota; Fungi; Glomeromycota; Glomeromycetes; Glomerales; Glomeraceae. The record is from RNAcentral.